This 119-nucleotide ribosomal RNA is filed under the name Triticum aestivum (bread wheat). Lineage: Eukaryota; Viridiplantae; Streptophyta; Magnoliopsida; Poales; Poaceae. The record is from RNAcentral.
GGAUGCGAUCAUACCAGCACUAAAGCACCGGAUCCCAUCAGAACUCCGAAGUUAAGCGUGCUUGGGCGAGAGUAGUACUAGGAUGGGUAACCUCUUGGGAAGUCCUCAUGUUGCAUUCC